AUGGUAUCCUUCAAUCCCAAGAGCGCAGCUGAGUUAGAAGAACUGAUCAAGGCUCACGGCGAGAAGAGUGAUGUCACCGUCCAUGUCCCCAAGAAGAUCGCCGUUCUGCUUGAAGGCAAGCAGAUGCUUGACCUCCUCGAGGACAAGAUGGAGACAAACGGAUGGGUCGUGAGCCGCUACGACAAGCUGAAGAAGGUUGUCCACAUCCACAACGCCCUGCUCAAGACGGACGGCCUCCUCAGCGAGGCAAUCUCCCUCACCGACGCCGCCAAGAUCAAGCCCGCCCGCUACGCUCGCCAUCACGUUGGGUCGCCCGUUCGAGUCGGCAAGUUCUCCCCGACCGGCCGCCACCACCGUCGCCGUACUCGGCGUCGCCACAAGCUUCCUCGGAUCGUGCCCGCCAAGAUCGCGGGCGACCUCGUCGACACCGGCAACGUCCUGCAGCGGUUCCCUCUUCUACAAGUGCAACAUCUGGGCAGAUCGGUCGCCGCAGCCGGGAUGGGGCUGCUUCGCCAGAAGGAGGACAUGUCCGUGCUCCAUGCCCAACUCCUGAAGGUGGAGGAGGACUCGGUGAUGUGUGGGUCAGUGAGUUCAAGCCUGAUGAGCUGUAGAAUACCGCUAGGAGGCAUCGUAUAA
RNAcentral lists this ribosomal RNA (636 nucleotides) under Triticum aestivum (bread wheat). RNAcentral's name for it is "partial small subunit ribosomal RNA". The record is from RNAcentral. Lineage: Eukaryota; Viridiplantae; Streptophyta; Magnoliopsida; Poales; Poaceae.